CCAUUGACUACGAGGUCUCUAGGUAAGUUUACCAAAAGUACACUUUAAGCUGUAAUGUCUUCCGGUCUAACCAAAAUAGAACGGCUGACGUUAAGGUGGAAAACUAUGAUUGAGAAACUCAUCUUACAAUAGAGGACUUCUAUCGUGCUACGUACGAGGAGGACCUUGUGGACAUAAAACGAGGGAAAGUCCAGUUUGAAGUCCCUCCCGUGACCAUACACGAGGCAGCACAGGUACAAAAGUCUAGAACUGGGUAGAGACGAGAACAAGGAAGUGUCCGAUUUUACGUAGUUUAAGUUUUUAUACGAGUCACUCUUUAAAGAUUAUUACUCUUCUUUUAGAGAACGGCUACCGUAACACUUUUAGAGUGUACCCUUACUCUGUCACUCGACCAACCAUCAAUGAUUCUUUAAUGUCCCGAGCGAACAAGCAGUACUACAGACAUCGUGUCUCUAUCGAUACCGUAAAAGAAACGUCCUCUGUCUCCUACCUCUCAUACUUGGAAUAAAUUUCGUUGUUGGACACAAACGAAAGGAAGGAGAUUCCAUGAUGCCAGAAUUUAAGUAAGAAGUUCCUCUAAAACAGAACGGAAGAAGAUCUCUUCUUCACCUACGUCUAUCGCGUACCUUGGUUACCAACGACAGACUUAAGGGUAGAAAUAAACAAUCGUAUGUUCUUAGAAAAACACGAGACGGAACGAAGGCUUUCACGGGACCUUUUCGACAAUGUCGGAACUACUCAAAACACGGAGAUGGCCCUCUUCAAGUACCCAAGAAAAGAGUCGAGGGAGUAAACUAGGAAAGGUUCAACGCGGACUGGACGACGUACCAAAACCUCCCGAGGUCAAACGUCACCCAGGUGGGUACGUUGUGUGAUUCCCCAACCCUACUUGUCCGAUCUUUCGAUAACGGACUAUGGUAUGAGGUACUUGUAGAAGUGGAACCUAUAAAUAGUUUUCUACAAUGACAUAGGCUAUGUAAUAGUUCCCGGAAUCCAUAUGUACUCAUACCUGGCUUUCAAAACUGACUACAAUACAGUAGAUAAACGGUUUAACUACCAACGUAACUCAGUGACCCUGACCUUACCGAUACACGAACCAAACAAUGUGAAGUAAGCCGCAACGACAGAGUAAGAAGAGUCCUAGAAGGGAAAUCUUGUUUAAAACUUUCACUAUGAAAUACAAGAGAGUCCUUUUACGUUACGUAGGGUGAAAGUCUACCAAGUAAAGCGACAUAUCGUCUACCGGGUUAUACCAACUUAACACUAGAAGAGCUGAGAGGCGGACCUAGGUUUUAGUCGUACGUCUCGAAGGGUCAAGACAUGUCAUCGGAAGCGUAACACUCGGGUGUGUAGGAGAGGUACAGGACGUUUUUAUCAAUGUAACAGCUUCUCUGCUCUUGUUUACUGGAAUAUCUAUAAAAUAACUUUCAACCACACGACUUCAACAGACCUGUACUGUAAUAUUUUUUAGUGUAGGACCACAGUAACAGAUUACGAUGUCUACGAUUAGGUCUUCUCUUUUACUACUGUCUUAUAUACUCAAAAUAGUACGAUGUAGAAGUCCGGGGGACAUAUUCGACGUUGGGUCUCUUUCUUCUCUAACAGAGUCUUAAUGCGUUCUACGGACAGAAUGAAUGCUUGUUACCGAUAUUCACGGGUCGACUACAUGGGUAAGUGAAGUCAUUUGUAAUACCUUUAAGACACCUGUAUCCGUUCGAGGAAGUCUUACAUCUAUACCGUACCUAACUUGAACUGUGAACAAUAAACUGUGUAGUAUCAAGGCGAAGUGACGUUAAGUUAAACGUUUCAACCUCCGUUAAAAAGCUCGUCAAUCCGCACUGGCUAAAACAAGUCCAUUACCUUCAACUCUUUUUAUAUAAACUCCGACUACUGAAAGUUUUACCAUGAGGGAAGGUUCCACCGUAUGGACCUUGUGGAAUAUAACACAUACUGACCCUCAGCGGUCUUAACUGCUGAUACAAUAGUUAUGAGUGGAGUUUCUUAAACACUCUUUUAGCAUAUAUAGAAGACUUCCAAGAUCUGUUUAUGACCUUACUAACAAUAUCAUGUUUUACAUCCUCAGAGUGUUUACGUUGUCUAACACCACUUUUCUCUUUUCAACUGAGAAGGAAAUACUUCACAGACGCUUUGAAGUUCAUACCUACUCCUGGAAGUAAUGCGUCCUCUAGAUAAAACACUAAAAUUUUUACACGCGAGAGAAGAACCGUCGCAGCGGGGUAUACGAUUUGGUGACCAAUCAUGAGGGAGGCAUUUGAUUAUAUUCUCACAAAUCUUAUGAUUUUAUCACUAGAUUUGCGAGAAUAUAAUCAAAUGUCUCCCUCAUGAACCAUCAUCAAAUAGGAACGGUUUGAUAUAACACAAAAGUAGUAUUACAGAACAAGGACACCUUAUCAAUAGUUCGUGUAAUGAAUCCUUCCUGUAACCUAAGUUCUGUUGUCAUAGGGUGUCACUGCGAAAUAACUAGGAGUUAGUGACCUAUCGUAGUGUUCGAUUAAAAUCACGUUCUUACCUGGUCUACACGUUUAAGAUGUGGAAGUACAGUCUUCCACGGCGAUCACCUCUAUAGUUGUAAUUUGCGCUAAAGGAUGGUGAGACGAGAUAUAAAUGUGGUGACGUACCAAGUGGUAGUUGACUAAGACAUUGGCCCUCUAAAUACAGAAGUUUACUAAACAUAACCGUACUGGGUUGUCCGACAACACUUUUCUAUAUACGUAGGUAAAAUUACUUCCCCUUAUACAAAGGCUCUUUCUACAAUAGACACCGAAUAGGUUCGGAGGUACUUAAGAAAUGACUCUGUACACCACAUGGUUUCUAUGGUUGCUGUAGACUCAUGGAACUCUAUGACGAGGCCGAUAGUUCACAACGUAACGGAAGUGUUCAUCGGUUAGUACACAAAGCACAUAAACACUCUACCCGAUUACUAGAGGUAAGACCUUCAAUAUUCUACCUGCUAUAGAACAAGAACUUUCUUAGAGAAGUCUUCAACCUUUGUUGUCAUAACGGUUGGGACCCAACGUCUACCCACAGGGAGGUAGGUAGAAAACCAGAACAAACGACCCGUCUACUGCUACUCGACUUCGUCGUUAAAGUCUUGUGAGCACUCCAGCUUAAAUAUGUUAAACCACUUGAAAGAGAACUACUGUUUGUUUUUGAGCUACCCUCCCAACGACGUAACUACUUGUAAUAUCCAUAAGGCCGUGAAAGAUUCCAACACAUAGCGCUUGGUUACGUAAGACCAUGUCCCUUGUUGUCUCCUUUCCGAUCAAAUGAAUUAACCGAAAAUGGUAUAUACGUUGCAAUGUAGAUGUUCUACGUACCUCUAUGAAUGUUAUUUAAAGUCGUUUUACUCCGGUGCUUCGAAUCGUCAGAACUUCAAUAACAACAACUCUUCAAUAGGAUGUUCAUAUACGACUUUCCUGCACUAUCAAGAACACUCCCUUCUAAACUUACGAGAACAGAAAAUGUCCCUUUAUAAAAUAUACGAUGAGUUCUUCGACUAAGUGUAAGCUAAGAAGACCUUUAAAGAUUUGAAAAGAAACUACCUAGACAACUAGAUGUGAAGCGUUUAAAAGAAGUGUACCAGUUUUGGUACAGUCUUAGACCGAGGCGUCACCUUGUUUAACUCAAAAAAUAACAGUUAUUAGUCUUCCACGGAGACAACGGACUUGUCCUUGGACGAACCAGGAAAAGAAGUAGCAAACAGCAGCUCCUUUAUAAAUCAAGGGGUUGUCGACUUGAGGUUGGAGGCCUACUUGGGUCUGCGGGGGAGUUCGCAUUCUUCUUGGGUCCUUAGUAACUUACGGUGGGAGGCUUAUUAGGACUUUGUCGUGGACUAGAACUUUGGAGAAUGUAUUCGGUCGUUCUGUAUUUCCACUUACUAUAACGUAGAAGUAGUCUCGAAUCGUUCGGACAGCACACACCUGGGUACCUUCUAUGAAGCCAAGGGUAGUUCCAACUUCCCCUAGUACAGCACUUUCUCUUAAGUUGUUGUCUUGUAUACGAUCCGCAUGUCUCAUGUUACCUUCAACUACUACUCGGACGAACAAACCUGAACCUUCGUCCUUCGAGUGGUUCAGACUAACUACUUUGACUCGAUUGGCUGUAACUACUCUUUGAACGACUACAACGUCUUCUACCUUCGCUCGAUCCUCGACCGUGUGGACCAUUUCGGUGUCAAGUUUUCGGUCUACUCGCCAGUUCUUGGCCGUCCGAACCACUUCGACGCCAUGUGGUUAUGGAACGGCCCGUCGACCCUGGAUCGUUACAGUUCACCCACUUGCUUCUCUUCCUUAGCCCCGAAGGGAUACUGUAACAGUAGUGAGGGCUCCCACCGCGGCGUCUCAUACACCUCCACUUCCGCUGGCACUGAAGUUUGAUCCUGACCAAGGUGUAGUGUGGGUUACUUACCGUUAAGCGCGAACUCUUUCCCCUAAGCAAGUCGUAGCGGGUACAGCACGACUUUCCAAGUCUCUUUCGCUUAUAUUACUACUACUUCUUAGGCGUCUUCGAGACGGUGGUCUUCCAGCUGCUAAACUUAAAACGCGAACAAUACAGCUUUUUUAUAUCUUUUGAGUUGGUUUAGAGUCAAAGCAACUUCGGGCUACGCUUUAGUGACUGGGGGCUGCUUAGACGUAGAACUAGUUCGGAAACAGUGCGUCGCUACGGAGGCACUAAAGAUUGAGAGUCUAAAACAUAUAUUGAUCACAUCGUCACACAUCGAGUAGACAUCUCUUCAUGGUCGCAUCCACAUCGAGAGAUUGGACAGGGAAGCCGCCUACAAUGGACUUGCACGAAUCACUACCGUUAGAUCACUCACUUACAGAGACAGAGGUCAAAUGCCAAUCGUGCCCGCGACCAGACAGUCCACAGAGACAGCUAGAAGGUGAAGG
This 4910-nucleotide ribosomal RNA is filed under the name Triticum aestivum (bread wheat). RNAcentral's name for it is "partial small subunit ribosomal RNA". Lineage: Eukaryota; Viridiplantae; Streptophyta; Magnoliopsida; Poales; Poaceae. The record is from RNAcentral.